UAGGGAAUAUUGGUCAAUGGGCGAAAGCCUGAACCAGCAACGCCGCGUGCGCGAUGAAGGCCUUCGGGUCGUAAAGCGCUUUUGGGAGGGAUGAAAAUGACAGUACCUCCCGAAUAAGGAUCGGCUAACUACGUGCCAGCAGCCGCGGUAAGACGUAGGAUCCAAGCGUUAUCCGGAAUUACUGGGCGUAAAGGGCGUGUAGGAGGUUGGGCAAGUCGGCCAUGAAAGCUCCCGGCUCAACUGGGAGAGGCUGGUCGAUACUGCCUGGCUAGAGGGCAAGAGAGGGAGGUGGAAUUCCCGGUGUAGUGGUGAAAUGCGUAGAUAUCGGGAGGAACACCAGUGGCGAAGGCGGCCUCCUGGCUUGUACCUGACUCUGAAACGCGAAAGCAUGGGUAGCAAACAGGAUUAGAAACCCUGGUAGUCCAUGCCAUAAACGAUGUCAACUGGGUGUCGGCGAAGUAAAAUUUGUCGGUGCCGAAGCUAACGCAUUAAGUUGACCGCCUGGGGACUACGAUCGCAAGAUUA
Molecule: ribosomal RNA, 525 nt
Filed under: uncultured bacterium
Lineage: Bacteria
Description: bacterial SSU rRNA
Rfam family: Bacterial small subunit ribosomal RNA
Source: RNAcentral